RNAcentral lists this ribosomal RNA (252 nucleotides) under uncultured bacterium. RNAcentral describes it as "partial 16S ribosomal RNA". It matches the Rfam family "Bacterial small subunit ribosomal RNA", at positions 524 to 775 of the family's 1533-position model. The record is from RNAcentral.
UACGUAGGGUGCGAGCGUUGUCCGGAAUUAUUGGGCGUAAAGAGCUCGUAGGCGGUGUGUCACGUCGGCCGUGAAAACCUGCAGCUUAACUGUGGGCGUGCGGUCGAUACGGGCAGGCUGGAGUUCGGUAGGGGAGACUGGAAUUCCUGGUGUAGCGGUGAAAUGCGCAGAUAUCAGGAGGAACACCGAUGGCGAAGGCAGCUCGCUGGGACGGUACUGACGCUGAGGCGCGAAAGCGUGGGGAGCGAACGG